This 347-nucleotide ribosomal RNA is filed under the name Glomus sp. RNAcentral's name for it is "bacterial SSU rRNA". It matches the Rfam family "Eukaryotic small subunit ribosomal RNA", at positions 548 to 886 of the family's 1831-position model. Lineage: Eukaryota; Fungi; Glomeromycota; Glomeromycetes; Glomerales; Glomeraceae. The record is from RNAcentral.
UUGGAGGGCAAGUCUGGUGCCAGCAGCCGCGGUAAUUCCAGCUCCAAUAGCGUAUAUUAAAGUUGUUGCAGUUAAAAAGUUCGUAGUUGAAUUUCGGGUUAGUAGGCUGGUUAUAUGGAACUCGCGCUCUGCAGGUUUAUGUAACUGGUCUUACUAAUUCCUCCUUCCUGAUGAACUGUAGUGCCAUUAAUUUGGUGUUGCAGGGAAUCUGGACUGUUACUUUGAAAAAAUUAGAGUGUUUAAAGCAGGCUAACGCUUGAAUACAUUAGCAUGGAAUAAUGAAAUAGGACGUUCGAUCCUAUUGUUGGUUUCUAGGAUUGACGUAAUGAUUAAUAGGGAUAGUUGGG